RNA transcript from Salvia hispanica, 1640 nucleotides. It is a transcript of the gene named arogenate dehydrogenase 2, chloroplastic pseudogene, with no coding region annotated. The record is from RefSeq and is a predicted model, not a curated record. NCBI's taxonomy places the organism in Eukaryota, Viridiplantae, Streptophyta, Magnoliopsida, Lamiales, Lamiaceae.
GAUUCAAAGCUCAACUACCAAAGCAGGACACCAAACCCCUUCUCCUCAAACUACCACCAAAGCGCACACGCACAAACACAUUUCACUGCGUGUCUGCUUAUUCACAUAUAUACACCAUAAUUACUCUGCUCAUCCAUAAUCAACCGCAUAAACCGUAAAUUGCACCUUAAUUCCGCAGCAAUGGCUUCCUUCUCUUCCAUUCAACCCGCCGCCGCUCAGCCGCCGUCCGCCACCGCCACCUCCACCCGCACAUCUCACCUCCUCCCGCACCACCCCGACCAAUUGUCGCUCCCCUCGCCGCCGCCGCCGCCUUCCCACCGCCGCCUCCGCCGCCGCCCGCACUGCAUCCGCGCAAUCGACGCCGCGCAGCCGUACGACUACGAGGCGUACCUGUUCAACCGGUUCAGCCAGUCGAGCAAGCUGAAAAUCGCCGUGGUAGGGUUCGGCAACUUCGGGCAAUUCCUGGCCAAGGCCUUCAUCCGCCAAGGCCACACCGUCUUCGCCCACUCCCGCUCGAACUACCACGCCGUGGCGCAGUCUCUUGGCGCCGCCUUCUUCCCCGACCCGCACGACCUCUGCGAGCAGCACCCCGACGUCAUCCUCAUCUGCACCUCCGUCAUCUCCACCGAAUCCGUCCUCCGCUCCCUCCCGCUCCAGCGCCUCCGCCGCAACACGCUCUUCGUGGACGUCCUCUCCGUGAAGGAAUUCCCCAAAAACAUCUUCCUGCAGGUCCUCCCGCACCACUUCGACGUCCUGUGCACGCACCCGAUGUUCGGCCCGGAGAGCGGGAAGGUGACGUGGCAGAACCUGCCGUUCGUGUUCGACAAAGUGAGGAUCGGGAACGAGGAGUCGAGAGUGAACCGCGUGGAGACGUUUUUGGACAUUUUCAAAAAGGAAGGGUGCACCAUGGUGGAGAUGAGCUGCGCGGAGCACGAUCGCUACGCCGCGGGCUCGCAGUUCAUCACGCACACCAUGGGGAGGAUCCUCGAGAAAUUGCAGCUCGAGAGCACUCCCAUCAACACCAAAGGCUACGAGACGCUGUUGAAUUUGGUGGAGAACACCGCCAGCGACAGUUUCGAUUUAUACUAUGGCCUUUUCAUGUAUAACAAGAAUGCCAUGGAGCAGCUUGAGAGAUUGGAUUUGGCGUUUGAGGCCUUGAAGACCGAGCUCUUCGGCCACUUGCACGAGGCCUUGAGGAAGCAGUUGUUUGGGAAGUCGGAGGAGGGAGGUCAUCGGAGGCCCAUGCUCGCCAAAUUGCCCAAGAAUGGGACUCCCUUGUUGCCACCUCAAUCAGAGGCCGUUGCCAACAAGAACAAUUAGGCUGCUUUGUGUUGUUAGGAUAGAAGAACAUAGCCACGGAGAUCCUCUCGGCCUCUGAGUUUAUAACUACUCUGUGCCAUAGACUUUUGAAUAUUCCAUUGCUCAGUAGCUGCAGGAAAACAAUCAGCAAGAACAUGUUACAAGAUCGUCUUCUCAAGAAUUGCUUUACUCCCUAAUCCGAGAACGAACAGUGCUUUAGGUAUUAUUGGAACGGAUAACCACUGAUUGUCUUUAAGUAUCUGAAGGCCUCGUACUUGGCUGUCCUGCAACAGAAGAGUUAUUCCAGUGCCAUCUGUGUGUGGACGGAGACCAAUAACCUG